GCUUCUGUGGCGCAAUUGGUUAGCGCGUCUGACUGUUAAUCAGGAGGUUGGUGGUUCAAGCCCACCCAGGAGCG
The sequence is a transfer RNA, 74 nucleotides long. It matches the Rfam family "tRNA". Rfam says of the family: Transfer RNA (tRNA) molecules are approximately 80 nucleotides in length. The record is from Rfam.